This 484-nucleotide ribosomal RNA is filed under the name uncultured bacterium. RNAcentral's name for it is "partial 16S ribosomal RNA". It matches the Rfam family "Bacterial small subunit ribosomal RNA", at positions 29 to 507 of the family's 1533-position model. The record is from RNAcentral.
AUUGAACGCUGGCGGCAUGCCUAACACAUGCAAGUCGAACGGCAGCGCGGGGGCAACCCUGGCGGCGGGUGGCAGACGGGUGAGGAAUGCAUAGGAAUCUGCCCGGUUGUGGGGGAUAACGUAGGAACACUUACGCUAAUACCGCAUACGACCUUCGGGUGAAAGUGGGGGACCUUCGGGCCUCUCGCGAUCGGAGGAGCCUAUGCCCGAUUCGCUAGUUGGCGGGGUAAGAGCCCACCAAGGCGGCGAUCGGUAGCUGGUCUCAGAGGAUGGUCAGCCAGACUGGGAGUGAGAAACGGCCCAGACACCUACGGGAGGAAGCAGUGGGGAAUACUGGACGAUGGAGGCAAGGGUGAUCUAGCAAUACGGCGUGAAGGAAGACGGCCUUCGGGUUGGAAAGUACUUAUGGUCGGGAAGAAAUCCGUGUGGUUAAUCCGCGAACGGGAUGACGGUACCGAAAGAAUAAGCCCCGGCUAACUUCGUG